Molecule: long non-coding RNA, 1354 nt
Filed under: Sorghum bicolor (sorghum)
Lineage: Eukaryota; Viridiplantae; Streptophyta; Magnoliopsida; Poales; Poaceae
Description: long non-coding RNA (SBIC_LNC000021)
Source: RNAcentral
CAAUUAUGUGACCAAUUUGUGAUUUGACAGUCAAUCAAAGCAAACUAGAUCGGUUUUUGAAAAGGAAAUCGCCUCCACCCAAUGAUAACGAGAAUAAUGAUGGAAAUAUUUCAAGGACAAGAAGAGACGACACCAAAUCCUACUAGUCAUCGUUUCUUCACGGAUAUCACGACAAGAGGUAAAUUUUGAUGAGCUUCCAUAUGAUCUAGCCGAUAGAAGGAGAAUAUCAGAUUACAUAGGUGAUCAGCUACAAAAUGAUGUAAGGAGAAAGUAUUUGACAAAGGGUCCUUGUAAGCCACCACCUGGUUUUAACUUUCCACAAACAAUAGCCGGGGCUCCACGCCGCUGUCAACAUGAAUGGUUCAAUAUGUAUGAUUGGCUAGAGUAUAGUGAAAAGUUGGAUAAGUGUUUUUGUUUAUAUUGCUACCUAUUCAGAGAUUGCAACAAGGGUCAAGGUGGGAAUGAUGCAUUUGUAAUAGAUGGUUGGGAUGGGUGGAACAAAUCUGAUAGGCUUAGAGAUCAUGUAGGCAAGAGAUGUGACAGUUUCCAUAAUACAGCUGUGAAAAGAUGUGACAAUUUAUUGAAGCCUGGCCAAUCAAUUGGUGAAGCCAUAAACAAGCAGAGUAAUAUCACUAAAGAGAACCUUUUGAUUCGAUUGAAGACAGCCAUCAAAGCUGUCCGAUACUUGUUGCAUCAAGGCUUAGCUUUUCGUGGGCUUGAUGAAUCAGAGAAAUCUACCAAUAAGGGAAACUAUCGAGAGUUAGUAGAUCUUUUGGCUGAGGAAAAUGACAAAGUAAAAAAAGCAUUUGUUAAUGACAAAGUAGAUCUUUUGUGCAACUGGUUAUGUGUAACGAGACACAGGAUAGUUUAGCACUUUGGGUCAACUACUUGUAUUGAUCUAAUAUAGCUUCUUAUUAUUAAAAAUGUGUCUCGUUACACAUAACCAGUUGCACAAAACUCAUAUGCUUGCAUAAUUUUAAUCUAUCUUUGUAUGAAUUGCCUUUCACUUUAUGUAAAGCAUUAACUACUUCAAUCACCUCUUCCACGCUGAACCGAAGUUAGGAUAGUUGUCCCUUCUUGUGGACUAGAAGAUGUACCACCAUGUUGCUCUCACACUGCAGGAAGUGAUGCCUGUUACAAAUCAAUCUUGAAAAACGGGGAUCAGAUUAUCUACUUGCGUUGAUGCCCCAUAGAUAAUAUACUUUUGAUGACUGUAGCAAGUGAUUUUUUCCUCACACAAACCAUCGGAUGGAGAGAAAACUCAUGCUACUUUAUUGCGUAUGGCUUCGAUGUUUUAUUUUUUGUACACUAUAGCUCUCAUGGACCGAUGCUUGUUUGCUCGAUGUAGAGUCCA